Molecule: RNA transcript, 4291 nt
Organism: Solenopsis invicta (red fire ant)
Lineage: Eukaryota; Metazoa; Arthropoda; Insecta; Hymenoptera; Formicidae
Gene: Rab5
Gene name: ras-related protein Rab-5C
Exons: 6
Source: RefSeq, a predicted model, not a curated record
AUACGCUCUCGGUGGAAUCGGCGGAGAGAGAAAACCGAGUCGGGUGGGAGCCGAGCACGAGAGGCGUAUCCGCGAAGAUCUCGCGUUUCGUUUACCGCGAAUUCGGGCGAGACGACCACGGCGGGUAAAUCGCUUGCGUUCGCGCGAAAUCUCGGAAACCCGAAGCGGAACGAACGGCCAAAAGUGACGCAGCACCGUAUGCAUCGCGCGUGUCGGUAAUCUCCUUUUCUCUCUCUCUCUCUCUCUCUCUCUUUUUCUCUCUUCCUCUUUCAUUGUCUCUUUCUCUCUCUCUCUCGUUCUUUCUUUCUUCUGUCUCUCCCUCCCUUUCCCAUCAGAGUGUCAAAGUUCCGAGACCAUUCGUCGACGUAUUCCAUCGCGGUGGCCGUCGAUGUAGGUUACGAGGAGAGAAGAAACGAACGAUAUUGGGGUGCAGUAGAGUCGUGGAAGUGUGACGCGACCGGGCAGCGAUACGCACCUCCCACGGGGGAGAAAAAAAAACGAAACGUCGUGCACACGGCGGUAUCGAGUGUGCGAAGGAGCGAGCGAGCGAGCGAGCGAACGAACGAACGAACGAACGAACGAACGGUUGACCGGGCGGGCGGGUGUAGCGGGGGAGAGCGAGAGGAUCCAGAGUGCGAGUACGGAGCGGAGGAGAGUGAGUCGGUGAUUCGGUGAUUCGGUGAUUCGCGGACGACACGGACCGCGCGAGAGGAGCGAGCUCCGGUGCGAGCCUCGCGUGCCAUCCGAGUGCUGUCAUAAAUGUGCAUGUUCUACAUAGAUUGCUCGACGAUCUAUGCACGAUCUACGACGGGCCGAUCCAUCCACGGUGACGAGUGCUGAUCGUGCCUGACGCCUUCCGCGGCUCCGGUUCCAGCGAGUCGUCUCGGUCGCGCGGCGUUGCGCCUGGUCGCCGCCGUCGCUGUCACCGCCGCUAUCGUCGUCCUGAAGCAGUCCGGAAGCAGCAGUAGCAGCAGCUAGCCCAGCGUGCGCGGCGUACAUACCUAACGGCGUGCCUCUCGACUCAAAGCAGGUGAUCAUGGCGAAUCGGGGCACGGCCCAGAGGCCGAACGGAUCGACACAAGGAAAAAUUUGUCAGUUUAAAUUAGUUUUACUUGGUGAAUCGGCAGUCGGAAAAUCGAGCCUUGUUUUGAGGUUCGUCAAAGGACAGUUCCAUGAGUACCAGGAGAGUACAAUUGGCGCUGCAUUUCUAACGCAAACCGUAUGUUUGGAUGACACAACUGUAAAAUUUGAAAUCUGGGAUACUGCGGGGCAAGAACGUUAUCACAGUCUUGCGCCAAUGUAUUAUCGUGGUGCACAGGCAGCCAUUGUCGUGUACGAUAUAACAAACCAGGAUACAUUCUCACGUGCCCAAACAUGGGUAAAGGAAUUGCAGCGCCAAGCCAGUCCAAGCAUAGUAAUAGCAUUAGCUGGAAACAAGGCAGAUUUGGCAAAUAAGAGAGUCGUCGAGUAUGAUGAAGCUCAAACGUAUGCAGAUGAAAAUGGCCUUCUUUUCAUGGAAACAUCUGCUAAGACGGCGAUGAAUGUUAACGACAUAUUUCUUGCAAUUGCUAAAAAGCUUCCUAAAAACGAACAAUCGGGAAGCGCAAGUACGAGUGGUCAAGGCCGUCGACUAGUGGAGUCAGAUGGGCAAAAGGCAGCAACCGGCAAUUGCUGCAAGUGAUUAUCUAAAUCCGUAUGUGUCUCACAAUAUAUUCGUAUCUAUAUUUUUACAUUAUUUGAAUAUAUAUACAUAUAUAUUAUCUUUAAAAUUAAUUGAAUUGAUGAGAGACAUUAUUCCACGGAUGAGAGAAACCAGCAAAUGUUUGAUAUACGCCUAAUGAAUAUGUUACGAAUCAAACACGCAUAUUCAGUGUAACAACAUAUUUUUAUAAUACUAGAAUAUAUAAUGAAGAAAGCGCGAUCAAAAAGAAGAACGGGGAAAACGGGAAUAUAUUGAUUUGAUAUUGCAUAGAGUAGACACAUCUGCACUUUAAAAUGCUUUUAGCAGAUUUUUGCAUUAGCAUCGUAAUAACGGGAUAUCAGUAGUCAUGCAGUUUUCAUAGAGUAAUUAUAUUUCUUGUUAUGUUUAUGAUAUUUUUUAUAGCGUAUAAUUUUCUUUCUCUCUGUCGACUUUUACCUUCUUUAUUAUUUACUGAAACAGUAAAUAAAGGACAGGCUGAAAUAUAUAGGCGAAAAAAUAAAGAGCUUGGAUUGAAAGUAAAAUCCAAUAUAUAUAUAUAUAUAUAUAUAUAUAUAUAUAUAUAUAUAUAUAUAUAACCAUCAAAUUUAUAAUAUGCAGGAUACAAAUGUAAUUGUAAUGUUGCUGUAUAAUAUUUAGCUAAACAUUGACGGUUUCUUGUAAUUAAAGGAUGAUUUACACAAAAAAUGUGUAUGUGAAGAAAACGAUUCUAAAUUUUAUGAUGUUUCCAUAUUAAUAAUGUAUCUAUUUAUACUUAUUUUUUGGAGAAUUUUUCUUUUAGCAAUAUAUUUGUUCAAACUAUUCAAUACAAACAUUUAAUAUAAUGAUUCCAUAUACUCUUAUUAAAAUAAUUCUUUAGCCAAAAUCUUUUAUCAUUGCAUUCAAAGGAUAUUAUAUGGUGUCGUUAUUAUCAAUCGUUUAAUAACAAACCUUUAAUAUUCUUUUAAUGUAUUUCUACUAGAUUUAAAUAGCAUUUAUACAUUACUGUGUCAGCUUUAUUAUUAAAGUCAGAGUUUCAUCAUUUGCAUGUAAAAGUUGUAAUCUAUGUCUAAAAGCAUAAUAUUCUUUUAUUAGUUUCCUCUCAUUUUAUUGUAUAUUUAUUCAUAAUUAUAUAAUUUAAGUGCACUAUUCAAAAUUUCGUGAAAAGAGAAGUUAUUUAAUAUAAGGCACUAGAUAUCCCUUAGGCACAUUGUAGCAUUCAUGUGACACUAUAUAUUUAUAGAUAUUAUAAAUUUGUAAAGGUUUCCUUUCUUUUUGGAGGACACUAAUUUCUGACUGAUAAAGGUGCUACAAGAAUACAUAUGCAUGAUAUCUGUAUUGUGCAAAUUUGUGGAAAUGUUUCUUGUAAUUUACGAUAAUGCUCCCCAUUUCCUGUGCAAUGAUUCGUAUCAUUGGAUUGUAUAUUUGAAAUAUUAUUUUGUAAUAAUAAUAAUAAUAAUAGGUAAAGCUGUUUAAAAAAUUGUUAUAAAAAAAAUUCUCAGGAUGCAAUCCUUGUCUUUAAUCUCUCAAUAUUGUUGUAUCCUAAUUAUAUAUUUAUUUUUAUUUCCGCUUUAAUGAGAUACGACUAUUUAGAUAUAUUCUGUUAAAAAUUACACAGGUAGGUUCUAUUAUUCCUGUAUAGAGAAAUUUUCAAUAUUCAUCAGGCAAAUAAAAUGUUUUAUAGUAGCUAUGGUCUUGUGCAUUGUAGAUAUUCAACAAAUGUAAUACAGUACAUUAUGGAAUCGUAUAUUGUGACUUAUUCUCCUUAUCAUUUAUGUAAAUGUAAUGGAAAAGAUGAUUUUUUAUUACGUUCGUAAGCUGUACAUUUUGCAUUACACUUCAAAAUAAUUAUCAACAAUAUACACGCUAGUAGAACAAUAAUUUAUUACUGUUUUAUUUCUAUGGAGGAAAUUUGUUUCUCAGAAAUGUUCUUGAUUAAAUUAGAUAUGUACUAUAAUCUACAAAGAUAAGUACACCACGAGUGUGCUACGAUGAAUUUGAGAGGAAGACACACAACAGGGGAAAAAUACAGAGUGGGAAGUGAACUGAGUGUGGGAUAUUUGCAAAACAUUUUGCUCGAGUGAUUUGACUAAGAGUCUGCGUCUCAAUGUAAUCGACGAUAUAUCAUCUAUUUUGAGUAUCAGAUCUAUUAAGAGGUGGUAAAAAAGAAAGCUCCCAUUUGUAAUUCUAGUAGUGUAAUGGGCGGUGUUCGUUAUAAAUAUAUAAAUAUAUAUAAAUACACAUUAUAUAUUAUAAAUCAUAUAGGUAAAUAUGAUUUAUAUAUGUAAUAAGUAUAUAAAUGCUAAUGAUAAUAAAUAAUAAUAAUAAUUAAUAAAAAUAUAAUACACCGUUAAUAUUACCGUAAAUACUGAUAAAGUAACAAUACAUUUAAAAUAUGCAACAUCUAAUGAAUUUUUGGCACGCGGAGAUCUUGUAAGAUAGGAGAGGCUAUUCCUGCUGCUAUUACUAUGUAUUUCCUUUCUUAGUUUGUAACACGUAUAACAAUUUCUUGCUCUAAAAUAUAUUGUAUAUUAAUUUUAUUGAUAACUCAUAAUGAAUUAUAAAAGAUUAAACAGCAAAAAAUAAACUUGUGAAUAUUACGACGGCUCUUGA